Quercus robur (English oak) is the source of this 510-nucleotide long non-coding RNA. RefSeq lists it as uncharacterized. Lineage: Eukaryota; Viridiplantae; Streptophyta; Magnoliopsida; Fagales; Fagaceae. The transcript is spliced from 2 exons. The record is from RefSeq and is a predicted model, not a curated record.
GAUGGGAUUGGUUGAUUUCAUGGUGCACGGUUGAGGUAAAAUUGGUUGGCCUUCUGAGGUCUUUUGAAAACAAAAGCAGGUCGAUUCGGAGAAGGAAGAGUUGUUUCACAACUUAGCAUGAGAAGAAUUGCCAACAUUGUUGGUCGAUCCGUUGCAUCUUCUUGCACACAUAAGAGCCCAAUUUGAAUGCAUCUCAAGACUUCAUGAGAAACAAUUGACUCAAUAAUCGAUGAAUCAACUAUAUCCAAGGCUCUAUCUUCUGUCCACAGUUCCCAGACCUGUAUGGUUUAUAGCAUUAUCCAAAAGAGGUUGUAUUAUAAAUGCAAAUGGAAAAGAUUGUUGUUUUUUUGUUACUUACAUGCCCUAUCAAAGUUAGGGAAGGGUGUGUUUGAUAAGAAAUGUUAUUCUUCUUGCCACUAAUGAUCUCCAACAAUAUGACACCAAAACUAAAGACAUCUGAUUUUGUUGAAAAUUUCCCAAAUAUUACAUACUUUGGUGACAUAUAACCAC